RNAcentral lists this ribosomal RNA (465 nucleotides) under Vreelandella stevensii. RNAcentral describes it as "partial 16S ribosomal RNA". It matches the Rfam family "Bacterial small subunit ribosomal RNA", at positions 338 to 795 of the family's 1533-position model. Lineage: Bacteria; Pseudomonadati; Pseudomonadota; Gammaproteobacteria; Oceanospirillales; Halomonadaceae. The record is from RNAcentral.
CCUACGGGUGGCAGCAGUGGGGAAUAUUGGACAAUGGGCGAAAGCCUGAUCCAGCCAUGCCGCGUGUGUGAAGAAGGCCUUCGGGUUGUAAAGCACUUUCAGUGGGGAAGAAAGCCUUGGGGCUAAUACCCUCGAGGAAGGACAUCACCCACAGAAGAAGCACCGGCUAACUCCGUGCCAGCAGCCGCGGUAAUACGGAGGGUGCGAGCGUUAAUCGGAAUUACUGGGCGUAAAGCGCGCGUAGGCGGUCUGAUAAGCCGGUUGUGAAAGCCCCGGGCUCAACCUGGGAACGGCAUCUGGAACUGUCAGGCUAGAGUGCAGGAGAGGAAGGUAGAAUUCCCGGUGUAGCGGUGAAAUGCGUAGAGAUCGGGAGGAAUACCAGUGGCGAAGGCGGCCUUCUGGACUGACACUGACGCUGAGGUGCGAAAGCGUGGGUAGCAAACAGGAUUAGAUACCCCAGUAAUC